CUGAUGCAGCGACGCCGCGUGAGGGAUGACGGCCUUCGGGUUGUAAACCUCUUUCAGUAGGGAAGAAGCUUUCGGGUGACGGUACCUGCAGAAGAAGCGCCGGCUAACUACGUGCCAGCAGCCGCGGUAAUACGUAGGGCGCAAGCGUUGUCCGGAAUUAUUGGGCGUAAAGAGCUCGUAGGUGGUUUGUCGCGUCUGGUGUGAAAUCCCAUGGCUUAACUGUGGGCGUGCAUCGGGUACGGGCAGACUAGAGUGCGGUAGGGGAGACUGGAAUUCCUGGUGUAGCGGUGGAAUGCACAGAUAUCAGGAGGAACACCGAUGGCGAAGGCAGGUCUCUGGGCCGCAACUGACGCUGAGGAGCGAAAGCAUGGGGAGCGAACAGGAUUAGAUACCCUGGUAGUCCAUGCCGUAAACGUUGGGCACUAGGUGUGGGGCUCUUUCCACGAGUUCCGUGCCGUAGCUAACGCAUUAAGUGCCCCGCCUGGGGAGUACGGCCGCAAGGCUAAAACUCAAAGGAAUUGACGGGGGCCCGCACAAGCGGCGGAGCAUGCUGAUUAAUUCGAUGCAACGCGAAGAACCUUACCAAGGCUUGACAUACGCGAGAAGCCACCAGAGAUGGUGGUCUCUUUGGAC
Molecule: ribosomal RNA, 633 nt
Filed under: Actinomycetes bacterium
Lineage: Bacteria; Bacillati; Actinomycetota; Actinomycetes
Description: bacterial SSU rRNA
Rfam family: Bacterial small subunit ribosomal RNA
Source: RNAcentral